GAGUCAUUAGUAUAACGGUAGUAUGGAAGAUUCGGGUAAGUCAAGCAUGGGUUCAACUCCCAUAUGGUCCC
This 71-nucleotide transfer RNA is filed under the name Paramecium tetraurelia. RNAcentral's name for it is "tRNA-Pro for anticodon CGG". It matches the Rfam family "tRNA". From Rfam's summary of the family: Transfer RNA (tRNA) molecules are approximately 80 nucleotides in length. Lineage: Eukaryota; Ciliophora; Oligohymenophorea; Peniculida; Parameciidae. The record is from Rfam by way of RNAcentral.